Molecule: ribosomal RNA, 301 nt
Filed under: uncultured bacterium
Lineage: Bacteria
Description: partial 16S ribosomal RNA
Rfam family: Bacterial small subunit ribosomal RNA
Source: RNAcentral
CAGUCGCCGCGGUAAAACGAAGGGGGCUAGCGUUGUUCGGAUUUACUGGGCGUAAAGCGCACGUAGGCGGACUUUUAAGUCAGGGGUGAAAUCCCGGGGCUCAACCCCGGAACUGCCUUUGAUACUGGAAGUCUUGAGUAUGGUAGAGGUGAGUGGAAUUCCGAGUGUAGAGGUGAAAUUCGUAGAUAUUCGGAGGAACACCAGUGGCGAAGGCGGCUCACUGGACCAUUACUGACGCUGAGGUGCGAAAGCGUGGGGAGCAAACAGGAUUAGAUACCCCUGUAGUCCCUGUCUCUUAUAA